RNAcentral lists this ribosomal RNA (131 nucleotides) under uncultured bacterium. RNAcentral describes it as "partial 23S ribosomal RNA". It matches the Rfam family "Bacterial large subunit ribosomal RNA", at positions 1 to 131 of the family's 2925-position model. The record is from RNAcentral.
UGUAAGUUAUUAAGGGCACACGGUGGAUGCCUUGGCACUAGAAGCCGAUGAAGGACGUGUGAAUCUGCGAUAAGCCUGGGGUAGCCGAUAACAGGGCGUUGAUCCCAGGAUUUCCGAAUGGGGAAACCCGG